UACGAAGGGGGCUAGCGUUGCUCGGAAUUAACUGGGCGUAAAGGGCGCGUAGGCGGAUCGUUAAGUCAGAAGGUGGAAAGCCCAGGGCUCAACCCUGGAAUUGCCUUUGAUACUGGCGAUCUUGAAUACGGGAGAGGUGUGUGGAACUCCGAGUGUAGAGGUGAAAUUCGUAGAUAUUCGCAAGAACACCAGUGGCGAAGGCGGCUCACUGGCCCGGUACUGACGCUGAGGUGCGAAAGCGUGGGGAGCAAACAGG
This 256-nucleotide ribosomal RNA is filed under the name uncultured bacterium. RNAcentral describes it as "partial 16S ribosomal RNA". It matches the Rfam family "Bacterial small subunit ribosomal RNA", at positions 524 to 776 of the family's 1533-position model. The record is from RNAcentral.